UACUAUGAAGAGUUUGAUCCUGGCUCAGGAUGAACGCUAGCGGCAGGCCUAAUACAUGCAAGUCGAGGGGUAAGGCUCUUUCGGGAGUACACGACCGGCGCACGGGUGCGUAACGCGUAUGCAACCUACCUUUAACUGGGGAAUAGCCCCGAGAAAUCGGGAUUAAUACCUCAUAACACUGCGAAGUGGCAUCACUUUGCAAUUAAAGCUCCGGCGGUUAAAGAUGGGCAUGCGUGACAUUAGCUAGUUGGUGGGGUAACGGCCCACCAAGGCUACGAUGUCUAGGGGUUCUGAGAGGAUGAUCCCCCACACUGGUACUGAGACACGGACCAGACUCCUACGGGAGGCAGC
Molecule: ribosomal RNA, 351 nt
Filed under: Bacteroidetes bacterium HGW-Bacteroidetes-16
Lineage: Bacteria; Pseudomonadati; Bacteroidota
Description: bacterial SSU rRNA
Rfam family: Bacterial small subunit ribosomal RNA
Source: RNAcentral